RNAcentral lists this ribosomal RNA (468 nucleotides) under uncultured bacterium. RNAcentral's name for it is "partial 16S ribosomal RNA". It matches the Rfam family "Bacterial small subunit ribosomal RNA", at positions 28 to 507 of the family's 1533-position model. The record is from RNAcentral.
GAUGAACGCUGGCGGCGUGCUUAAUACAUGCAAGUCGAACGGAAAGGCCCUGCGUUUGUGGGUUUCUCGUUUGGCGAACGGGUGAGUAACACGUGAGUAACCUCCCCUUGACUUUGGGAUAUCAUUACGAAACUGGGGCUCAUAUCGCAUAGAAGCUCCUGCUGCAUGUUGUUGGUUGGAAAGAGACGGCGUUUGGGGAUCGACUCGCGGGUUAUCAGCUAGUUGGUGUGGUAGUUGCUGACGAACGCUUUGACGGGUAGCCGGCCUGAGAGCGUGACCAGCGACAAUGGGACUGAGGUACGGACCAGAAUCCUACGGGACGCAGAAGUCGAAAAUCUUACAGAGUGGGCGGAAGCCAGAUACGGCGACGCCGCGUGCGGGAUGACGGCUUUCGAGUUGUAAACCACUUUCGAAUGUGACAAAGCGUGAGUGACGGUAAUGAAUCAGGAAGCCCCGGCUAACUACGUG